RNAcentral lists this small nuclear RNA (144 nucleotides) under Prolemur simus (greater bamboo lemur). RNAcentral describes it as "U1 spliceosomal RNA (ENSPSMG00000017391.1)". It matches the Rfam family "U1 spliceosomal RNA". Rfam says of the family: U1 is a small nuclear RNA (snRNA) component of the spliceosome (involved in pre-mRNA splicing). Its 5' end forms complementary base pairs with the 5' splice junction, thus defining the 5' donor site of an intron. The record is from Rfam by way of RNAcentral. Lineage: Eukaryota; Metazoa; Chordata; Mammalia; Primates; Lemuridae.
AUACUUACCUGGCAGGUGAGAUCAUGAAAGCGGUUUUCCCAGGGAGAGGCACUACUGAUAUGCUGACCCCUGCAAUUUCCCCAAAUGUGGAAAACUCAACUGCAUAAUUGGUGUUAGUGGGUGACAGUGUUCAUGCUCCUCCAU